RNAcentral lists this ribosomal RNA (262 nucleotides) under uncultured bacterium. Its description in RNAcentral is "partial 16S ribosomal RNA". The record is from RNAcentral.
CUGCUGCCUCCCGUAGGAGUUUGGGCCGUGUCUCAGUCCCAAUGUGGCCGUCCACCCUCUCAGGCCGGCUACUGAUCGCUGCCUUGGUGGGCCGUUACCCCGCCAACUAGCUAAUCAGACGCGGAUCCAUCGUAUACCACCGGAGUUUUUCACACUGCCCCAUGCGGAGCCGUGCGCUUAUGCGGUAUUAGCACCUAUUUCUAAGUGUUAUCCCCCGGUAUACGGCAGGUUAUCCACGCGUUACUCACCCGUCCGCCACUAA